RNAcentral lists this ribosomal RNA (435 nucleotides) under uncultured Serratia sp. RNAcentral describes it as "bacterial SSU rRNA". It matches the Rfam family "Bacterial small subunit ribosomal RNA", at positions 8 to 459 of the family's 1533-position model. Lineage: Bacteria; Pseudomonadati; Pseudomonadota; Gammaproteobacteria; Enterobacterales; Yersiniaceae. The record is from RNAcentral.
AGAGUUUGAUCAUGGCUCAGAUUGAACGCUGGCGGCAGGCUUAACACAUGCAAGUCGAGCGGUAGGGGAGCUUGCUCCCUACGAGCGGCGGACGGGUGAGUAAUGUCUGGGAAACUGCCUGAUGGAGGGGGAUAACUACUGGAAACGGUAGCUAAUACCGCAUAACGUCGCAAGACCAAAGAGGUUCGUCUUGCCAUCAGAUGUGCCCAGAUGGGAUUAGCUAGUAGGUGGGGUAAUGGCUCACCUAGGCGACGAUCCCUAGCUGGUCUGAGAGGAUGACCAGCCACACUGGAACUGAGACACGGUCCAGACUCCUACGGGAGGCAGCAGUGGGGAAUAUUGCACAAUGGGCGCAAGCCUGAUGCAGCCAUGCCGCGUGUGUGAAGAAGGCCUUCGGGUUGUAAAGCACUUUCAGCGAGGAGGAAAGGUGGUGAG